This is a long non-coding RNA of Prionailurus viverrinus (fishing cat), 3268 nucleotides long. RefSeq lists it as uncharacterized. The record is from RefSeq and is a predicted model, not a curated record. The transcript is spliced from 7 exons. Lineage: Eukaryota; Metazoa; Chordata; Mammalia; Carnivora; Felidae.
UCUUCCCUUUGUAUGGUCGGGUGUCCAUGAGUGGCCGCGACACGCGCUCGUGGCCGGUUCCUCAAGGCUGGGCUCACUCUAAGGAUUUUCUCUGCUCACUCGGCUGUGCUUCUCUCUAGGGAGCUCUGCCUUAAGGGGAUUGGAGUUUGCAAAUGGAAGGAUUUAAACCCCAACGCUGGAUCCUGGUUCUCCAAAUGAACCGGCUGAUAGCGCGACAGACGUGACAGGUCCUCUUUGGCGCCCCCUGUGUCCUCCACCUCUGUUUGCUGUCCCUUUCUGCUCCCGGUCUCCACCCCUGCAGACCCCACUGAACAGUUUCAUCUCGAGGAACCUCCAGCCCGAAGUGAGUACAGGUCUGUAGGCUGAGUUUCAGCCAUUUCUUUCUGAUCGCAGGUUCCUGUUUAAUGCGAUGGUCCAACCGAGGCUGCGGCCAAAUCCCAGCUCUCCCCUGACACAAGGGCGGGUAACCACGCCUUGACAAGUCUUGGCUCCCGCUCCAUCGCAUGAGAUCGCCAAGCACUCUUGCUUGCUGCAGGAUGCACAAGAACGAAGACUUUAGACAAGGUGCCCCGUGUGCCCUUCAAAGGAACACUCCAGGAGUCUUCUGGGGUCGGGCCUCCCCUCUCUGGCAGCCCGUCCACAGACAGAUGGGGGAAGAGGGAGGCAAAAGGCAACUAAGCUGACAAAGAGGUGCAAACCCUGCAACGGAACGCAGAUGCAAGUAAUGUAUUUGCAGCGGAUCCCAGGAGACACUGCGGGGGAGGGGAAAGGGGGCCAGGAAAGGGAGCAUUAUAGAGCCACUCCUGCAGAAGCGUCAACCCCCGGUCUGGCCUGCUGACCCUCCUCCUUCAUGUCCCAUGCUGCCUUUCUGGGUCUCAUCCGCGACAUCUGAUGCUGACUGACGCAGCCGUUCCCACUUCUCCUUUCCUGUCUCAACCUCAACAUCCCGAAAUCUUAUGUUCUGUUUGACCGGGACGCCGUAAGGCCAGGCUCCUUGCCUGCGUGGAGCCUGCGCGUCAUUGAGCUGCCCUCUUGUGCUGGGUCGUGUCCCGUCGUGAAUGAGGAUGUUGGGCACGACCAUGACCCAGGACAGACGAGAAGCCACCCUGCCUGGAUCACCCAAGAGGCCACCUCCUCCAUGCAGCCCUUCCCACUCCAUUCUCUGCAGCCAGAAAUCAUCCGGGAGAGGCAGGUGCGGGGGCUCUGAGGGGCUUAUGGGUUUUUUUUUUUGUUUUGUUUUGCUUUGUUUUGUGUUUUGCAGGGGUGGGGCUCGGGCGUGAGCAAAAGCUGCCGAGCGUCUUAAGGCCUGGCCUCAGAAGUCACCUCGUGUCACCUCUGCUGCGUUGUGAGGGUCGAAGCACGUCACCGAGCCCAGCCACAGCCAAGGAGUCGGGAGAUAGGACACGUUGGUUUAGUUGGAGUGGUGCAGUCACGCUGUGGAAGACCGUGUGCCCCAGGAUGGGGUGGGGGUGGGGGCCUUGAAACUGUAUUUUACCCUCCACCGAAGUACAGGUCUCCUCCAGUCUCUGGCCAAGGGCUUCCUUGAACCCUCUCCCCCAUGGCCAUGUCUUCCGUGCUCCUCGGCCACUCACACCCGUGACCCUAACUCCCGGAUCUCACCGUCAGAGCAACCACGGCCUCUCAUACCUUGGCUCCCGGCACCCCAGCCUCUGACCCCACUCCCACCUCUCCUGCCAUUCGGCACCAACAGGUCCCUGACCCCAGUGGGGCUGUGGCUCUCAGGCUCUUUUCUGACCUCGUGGUGUCCACCCAGCAAAAUCCGGCCUAGGGCACAGCCAGCCCCACGCCCGCACCCACGAAGUUGAAUGCGGCUGGAGGGAACCCCGCAGGCGUCCUGCGAGAACUGAGUUGUAACCCACCGUGGGAAGGCGGGGAGGAACGAAGAGGCGAUAACAACCCUUCAGACCUCAGAUCCGAGCCGUGGACGGAUCUCAGGCGUGCGGACCUCUCCCCUCCUCCUUCUAGCCCGAGAGCCGAAUCCGGGCACUGGCUCGCGCUGGCUCUUCCCUCCCACCGCAUUCACCACACGUCCACGAAGUGCCCCCGAUCUCGGUCGCGCACCGGGCAGUUACGGGGCUCAGCGGAGCUAGGCAGGGCCCGGAACCAGCGCGAACUCCAGGGGUGGUCUGGGGGCUGGCCGCACCCGCAUCACGUGGGAGCUCGUUGAGAAGAAAGGUUCUCAGGGCCUCACCCCGGACCUGCAGAAUCAGAAUCCCCGGGGGCGGGUGUCGGACCCAGAAGCUGUGUUUGGGGCAAGCCCUCUGGUGACUCUUAUUUAUGCUGGAGUUUGAGGAUCCUGUCGAGACACUUGCCGAUUAGUGUGUGACACCAAGCCCCGGGCGCUCGUCCAAAACGGCAGGCCCUGGGACCUCACCGCGGGCCCCCUGAAAGAGAAACUGCGUUUUCAUCGGGGCCCCCCAGGGAUCUGUCACAGGCCCAGGGGCUGGAGGUGGCCGAAGGACGCGUCCCAGGGCGUAGACGCUCAGGAAGCCUCGGGUGACUGGUUGUCGCACAGAAGGAGCACCCUCGCCGGUCUGCACAGAUAGGUUCCACUUCCCGGGCCCACGCUGAGGCUCAGCGGGGACGCCCUGGGGCCUGACCUCGCAUCUGGUCCCUACGCUGUAUUAGCGAGGCUGAGGGAGAGUCGCGCCUGCCCGUCGCCGGUGGGGGUAGAAAUCCGGUCCCCCUCCCCGGAGGGCUCUUUGGCCAUGUCUGCCGCGCCCCAGGCUGGACGGACGGAGCAAAGGCCGUGUGCCCUGGAUGCCGCCAGCAGGAAGGCCCUGGUGGGGAAGGUACGAUGUCUCUGGAAGGAAGCAGGAUGAACGGCUAAUAUUCCUGGUCCCUGGGGAGGGAAGCAGAUGCCCCUGGGGGAGACACCAAGCCCGAGUUUUCACUGUCUGUUACUUUGUACCGCUUGGCUUUUGUACCAAGUACAACUGUUAUCCGCCUGGUGGUUUUCUUUCCUUUUUUUUUCAAUAUAUGAAAUUUAUUGUCAAAUUGGUUUCCAUACAACACCCAGUGCUCAUCCCAAAAGGUGCCUUCCUCAAUACCCAUCACCCACCCUCCCCUCCCUCCCACCCCCCAUCAACCCUCAGUUUGUUCUCAGUCGCCUGGCGGUUUUCAAAAUGGGGUCCAAGGGGUCUCCCACACCCAUGCCAGGGGUCCCUGACGUCUUCCCUUUUCCAGCUAUGUCCCCGUGUGCGGCUGGUUUUCCUUCGCAGACUUCAGCCAAAACGAUCACAACAGA